This 254-nucleotide ribosomal RNA is filed under the name uncultured bacterium. RNAcentral describes it as "partial 16S ribosomal RNA". It matches the Rfam family "Bacterial small subunit ribosomal RNA", at positions 524 to 776 of the family's 1533-position model. The record is from RNAcentral.
UACGUAGGGCGCGAGCGUUGUCCGGAUUUAUUGGGCGUAAAGAGCUCGUAGGCGGCUUGUCGCGUCGUCCGUGAAAACCUGGGGCUCAACUCUGGGCGUGCGGUCGAUACGGGCAUCACUUGAGUUCGGCAGGGGAGACUGGAAUUCCUGGUGUAGCGGUGAAAUGCGCAGAUAUCAGGAGGAACACCGAUGGCGAAGGCAGAUCUCUGGGCCGUAACUGACGCUGAGGAGCGAAAGCAUGGGGAGCGAACAGG